GGCUGAGCGCCGACAAGAGAUUAGUCUGAAUUGAAACAACUGCGGAUGCUGUAAAUUAAGAACAAAAACAGAAGUUGCUGGAAAAGCUCAGCAGGAUUCAUGUAUGGGAUGGACUUCCGGAGGAAGUACUGGGUGCGGGUACAGUUACAGCAUUUAAAAGGCAAUUGGGUCUGUGUCUCGUCGUUGCAUCAAGUCCGUGAGUGUCUCCGAAAAUGAACAUAACAUUUGGUGCCGUGACCAGGAUUGCAACAUGUACAGCAGUCUCAUGUGGAGUGCUGAAUAAGGGAUCGAUCGAGUGUCAGUGGAGUGAGACAGACAGGCUCGCAAGCUUCUGGCAACAAAUGGCCACAAAUCGAUCAAAGGUGAAAGUGACGGUGAACCAGACAGAACAGUCAGUGGCUGCAUAAAGCAGGAUGGCGUGGAUAUUGCAC
Long non-coding RNA from Stegostoma tigrinum, 431 nucleotides. RefSeq lists it as uncharacterized. Lineage: Eukaryota; Metazoa; Chordata; Chondrichthyes; Orectolobiformes; Stegostomatidae. The record is from RefSeq and is a predicted model, not a curated record. The transcript has 4 exons.